UACGAGUGCCCCAAGCGUUAUCCGGAAUCAUUGGGCGUAAAGGGUGUGUAGGUGGCGCGGUUAGUCUUCUGUCAAAGCCCCGGGCUCAACCCGGGAUCUGCAGAGGAAACGGCCGUGCUCGAGGAUGCGAGGGGUGAAUGGAACUCAUGGAGUAGGGGUGAAAUCCGUUGAUAUCAUGGGGAACACCAAAAGCGAAGGCAAUUCACUGGCGCAUUCCUGACACUGGGGUGCGAAAGCAUGGGGAGCGAACAGG
RNAcentral lists this ribosomal RNA (253 nucleotides) under uncultured bacterium. RNAcentral describes it as "partial 16S ribosomal RNA". It matches the Rfam family "Bacterial small subunit ribosomal RNA", at positions 524 to 776 of the family's 1533-position model. The record is from RNAcentral.